Molecule: ribosomal RNA, 494 nt
Filed under: uncultured bacterium
Lineage: Bacteria
Description: partial 16S ribosomal RNA
Rfam family: Bacterial small subunit ribosomal RNA
Source: RNAcentral
GACGAACGCUGGCGGCGUGCUUAACACAUGCAAGUCGAACGGAAAGGCCUGCUUUCCCUUGUGGAUUGCGGGUACUCGAGUGGCGAACGGGUGAGUAACACGUGAGUGAUCUGCCCCCAACUUGGGUAUAAGCCUGGGAAACUGGGUCUAAUUCCCGAUAGGACUGCAGGGUGGUGCCUGUGGUGGAAAACGAUUUUCUAGUGGUUGGGGAUGAGCUCGCGGCCUAUCAGCUUGUUGGUGGGGUAAUGGACUACCAAGGCGGCGACGGGUAGCCGGCCUGGGAGGGGGGACGGCGACAUUGGGACUGAGAUACGGCCCAGACUGGUGCGGGAGGCAGCAGUGGGGAAUAAUGGACAAUGGGCGGAAGCGUGAUGCAGCGACGGCGCGUGGGGGAUGACGGCCUUCGGGUUGUAAACUCCUUGCGACCGCGAGGAAGCCACCUGGUUGGAAGGGUGGUGACGGUAGUGGUAGAAGAAGCACCGGCUAACUACGUG